This 253-nucleotide ribosomal RNA is filed under the name uncultured bacterium. Its description in RNAcentral is "partial 16S ribosomal RNA". It matches the Rfam family "Bacterial small subunit ribosomal RNA", at positions 524 to 776 of the family's 1533-position model. The record is from RNAcentral.
UACGAAGGGGGCUAGCGUUGUUCGGAAUUACUGGGCGUAAAGCGCGCGCAGGCGGCUAUCCAAGUCAGUGGUGAAAGCCCGGAGCUCAACUCCGGAACUGCCAUUGAAACUGUUUAGCUUGAGUAUGAGAGAGGUGAGUGGAAUUCCCAGUGUAGAGGUGAAAUUCGUAGAUAUUGGGAAGAACACCGGUGGCGAAGGCGGCUCCCUGGCUCAUUACUGACGCUCAGGCGCGACAGCGUGGGGAUCAAACAGG